UGACCCAAAAUGAGCUUCAAACCAUGCUU
Molecule: non-coding RNA, 29 nt
Filed under: Mus musculus (house mouse)
Lineage: Eukaryota; Metazoa; Chordata; Mammalia; Rodentia; Muridae
Source: RNAcentral